This 503-nucleotide ribosomal RNA is filed under the name bacterium. RNAcentral describes it as "bacterial SSU rRNA". It matches the Rfam family "Bacterial small subunit ribosomal RNA", at positions 375 to 883 of the family's 1533-position model. The record is from RNAcentral.
GCGCAGCCUGAUCCGCCUGCCGCGUGCAGGAUGACGGUCCUAUGGAUUGUAAACUGCUUUUAUACGAGAAGAAACACUACUUCGUGAAGUAGCUUGACGGUAUCGUAAGAAUAAGGAUCGGCUAACUCCGUGCCAGCAGCCGCGGUAAUACGGAGGAUCCAAGCGUUAUCCGGAAUCAUUGGGUUUAAAGGGUCCGUAGGCGGUUUAAUAAGUCAGUGGUGAAAGCCCAUCGCUCAACGGUGGAACGGCCAUUGAUACUGUUAAACUUGAAUUAUUAGGAAGUAACUAGAAUAUGUAGUGUAGCGGUGAAAUGCUUAGAGAUUACAUGGAAUACCAAUUGCGAAGGCAGGUUACUACUAAUGGAUUGACGCUGAUGGACGAAAGCGUGGGUAGCGAACAGGAUUAGAUACCCUGGUAGUCCACGCCGUAAACGAUGGAUACUAGCUGUUGGAAGCAAUUUCAGUGGCUAAGCGAAAGUGAUAAGUAUCCCACCUGGGGAGUAC